Molecule: ribosomal RNA, 557 nt
Filed under: Proteus mirabilis
Lineage: Bacteria; Pseudomonadati; Pseudomonadota; Gammaproteobacteria; Enterobacterales; Morganellaceae
Description: bacterial LSU rRNA
Rfam family: Bacterial large subunit ribosomal RNA
Source: RNAcentral
GGGUAGUUUGACUGGGGCGGUCUCCUCCUAAAGAGUAACGGAGGAGCACGAAGGUUGGCUAAGCAUGGUCGGACAUCAUGCGGUUAGUGCAAAGGCAUAAGCCAGCUUGACUGCGAGAGUGACGGCUCGAGCAGGUACGAAAGUAGGUCUUAGUGAUCCGGUGGUUCUGAAUGGAAGGGCCAUCGCUCAACGGAUAAAAGGUACUCCGGGGAUAACAGGCUGAUACCGCCCAAGAGUUCAUAUCGACGGCGGUGUUUGGCACCUCGAUGUCGGCUCAUCACAUCCUGGGGCUGAAGUAGGUCCCAAGGGUAUGGCUGUUCGCCAUUUAAAGUGGUACGCGAGCUGGGUUUAGAACGUCGUGAGACAGUUCGGUCCCUAUCUGCCGUGGGCGUUGGAAGAUUGAGAGGGGUUGCUCCUAGUACGAGAGGACCGGAGUGAACGCACCACUGGUGUUCGGGUUGUCAUGCCAAUGGCAUUGCCCGGUAGCUAAGUGCGGAAGAGAUAACCGCUGAAAGCAUCUAAGCGGGAAACUUGCCUCGAGAUGAGUCUUCCCUGUC